GACGAACGCUGGCGGCGUGCUUAACACAUGCAAGUCGAACGGUGAAGCUCCAGCUUGCUGGAGUGGAUCAGUGGCGAACGGGUGAGUAACACGUGAGCAACCUGCCCCAGACUCUGGAAUAAGCGCUGGAAACGGCGUCUAAUACUGGAUACGAGAUCAAGCCGCAUGGUUAUGGUCUGGAAAGUUGUUCGGUUUGGGAUGGGCUCGCGGCCUAUCAGCUUGUUGGUGAGGUAAUGGCUCACCAAGGCGACGACGGGUAGCCGGCCUGAGAGGGCGACCGGCCACACUGGGACUGAGACGCGGCCCAGACUCCUACGGGAGGCAGCAGUGGGGAAUAUUGCACAAUGGGCGAAAGCCUGAUGCAGCGACGCCGCGUGAGGGAUGACGGCCUUCGGGUUGUAAACCUCUUUCAGCAGGGAAGAAGCGAAAGUGACGGUACCUGCAGAAGAAGCACCGGCUAACUACGUG
Molecule: ribosomal RNA, 468 nt
Filed under: uncultured bacterium
Lineage: Bacteria
Description: partial 16S ribosomal RNA
Rfam family: Bacterial small subunit ribosomal RNA
Source: RNAcentral